CUAAGCCAGAUAUUGUUCUACCAAAAGCCAAGGGUCACUGAGAAAGAGAAGAAAACGAAAUAGAAGAACUAUACAAAGUCAUGUAUACUGCUACUUCCGAGUUCCUCGUGUUCAUCUUUCAACAGGUGCUACAUCCUUGAAGCCAUACUCAAAAUUUUAUCACUGUUGAAUUGACCUUUUUGAACAUUUACCUUUUUUCAACUGCUGAUUCUUAAGGUAGCCAACUUAGAAUGGGUAACUGGGGGAC
Molecule: long non-coding RNA, 247 nt
Filed under: Arachis ipaensis
Lineage: Eukaryota; Viridiplantae; Streptophyta; Magnoliopsida; Fabales; Fabaceae
Description: long non-coding RNA (AIPA_LNC001515)
Source: RNAcentral